Long non-coding RNA from Alligator mississippiensis (American alligator), 10731 nucleotides. RefSeq lists it as uncharacterized. The transcript is spliced from 5 exons. The record is from RefSeq and is a predicted model, not a curated record. NCBI's taxonomy places the organism in Eukaryota, Metazoa, Chordata, Crocodylia, Alligatoridae.
AGGAAAUGUAGGUAAUUAGCAGGGCAUAGAAGGACACACUUUAUUACUGCUUGUUUUCAUAAAAAAUGGAUUUCUUGAUAGGAUGGAUAAAAUUGUUAUUGUGUUAUGUUCCUGAUAUACCAGAUAGCUACAUUCUUGUAAUUGGUUUAAGUCUUUUGUAUUUAGUCAGCUACAAUAACAGACACACACACAAAAUUAGCAAUUUUUGCUGAGAACACUUGUCAUUCAAGAAAAGAAAAUGAGGUCAGCUGAGCUAUACCAGUCGGUGAACUAACAUGAACUGCCACCAGAUGAAGAUAUGUCCCAUUCUUAUCUGAUGCCCAGUAUUAGAUGCAGCUCCCUCCUUACCCUCAUGGAUGAAUGCAGCUUGGCCACUGGUGCAGAGAGUGUCCAGUUGCAUCGUCCAUCUGAUCUGAUAUACAUAUUGAUUUCCACCUACUCCUUUGUCUCCGCCAUCCAUUUUAGUUUCACUACCUUAAACAGGGCCCACCAAAGGUACAUUCUGGUGCCUAUCUUCUACUCAUUUACAUAAGAAUUACAAUUCCAGCUGUUUUUAUUCUUUAUUUCAUCUGUUUUCCCCUCUACCACAUUGAACUAUUUAGUUACCAUCAUGUUAUAGGGAAAAUAUUUUUCAUGAACUGGAGGCCUAUACUAAAAAAAAACAAAAAACAGCUAUGACUACAGACAUAAACUAAUAGACUUCCACACAACUUGAGUUCUAGCGUUGUCUCCCUUUUUUACCAGAGACCAUGUGCUCAUGAAACAGUACACUGAAAUACAUACUGACUGAAUAAUAUGCUGCAAGGAAAUGUAUCAUCAGAUAUUUUGGCUGAAAUUUCCUUUUAUUUAUUUCUGAUGUCAAUAUAUGAUGACUAUACUAAAGCCUCACUGUUCUUCUCUGUCAUGCUCUAGUUUCUUUAAUUUGUUCUUUUUUAUUACUAUGAAGUUUUAAUUUAUUCUUUUUUUUUCUUACCAGUACCAUUUCAACCUAUCAAAAAGCCUCUGCCUAUAUCCAGUGGUCUCUUAGCAGCAGUGAGAAAUGGGAAGAGCUUUGCUUGUCUAGUUUAGCAAAGAUGAGAUCCAGAGAUGACUUGAUUAUGGUACAUAAGUAUCUGCAUAGUGUGGAAAUACUAGGUAUUAAAGUGUGCUUUAACUCAGCAGGAAAAGGCAUAAAGAGAACCAAUGGCAUAAAGGCAUAACAAGUUAAAACACAGCAAAUUCAACCGUAAAAAAACAAUAGGAGUGAAAGCGCCUCAUAUACUUUGAAACGGACUACCAAGGGGAAGUGGUGGAUUUUUCAUCUCUUGAAGUCUUCAGAUCAAGAUUUCAUGCCUUUCUGGAAGAUAUGUUUUAGUCAAAUGUGAUCUACUGGUCUUUUUACAGAGAUAACUGUGAAGCGUAUAGCCUGCUUUAUAUAAGAGAUCAGGCCUUAAAAUCUCUGAAGCAUAGUUUGGUUUUCCUAAGAUGCUUUUAAGACCAGUUAGGCUAGUUACUUCCCUUAUGUCAAGUGGCAUGGUUCCUUUGAUAAAGAACAUCUUAUUUCAGAUGUUCCCAUGUGGUUGUUCAGUUUUGCUUUGCUAUGUCUUAUGUAUUACACUGAGGUGCUCUGUGAUGUUUUGGGUAGGCUAUCACAUGGCUGAGUUACUCACUGAGAAGCAAUGUAAUUAAUAAUGGUAAAUCAAAUCUCACCUAAUCUAAAAGCAUUGCUGAUUAUGUGCUUAUCAUCAUGGUUCACUGAUCUUAUCAGGUGCAAGUUGCAUCUUCUGAGAGUGGAGGGAAGAAAAAGACAUGUAAUUCCUGCUGAUAAAAGUGCCAGUAGCAGUUAGGUUUGCGCAAUAUUAUUUUGGAAAACAAACUUUCCAGGGGCUUAUUGUUGUUAUAGUUUAUUAAUGUAUGUAUGCCACUCUAUACAUGCAUGUGGGGUUUUUACAGACAAAUAAAAUGUCUAAGGAGUUUACACUCAAAGGCCCUGAUUCUGCAACAAAGCAUAACCUUAUGCUCACAAUGAAGUCCAUUAAGCAGCAGCUGGUUGAAGGCGUCCAUCUGAACAGACUGAUUGCACGAUUGCAUGUUCAGAGCCUACACGAGACACUGCACAGUAAAUGUCAACCAGCAAAGGGAAUGGGGAAGAAUUAUGGUAGUGACAGUGAGGCUAUGGACAGACAUUACACAUAAACUGGUUCAAGUGAUCAGAAACUGGUUUAAACCUGUAACAGAACAAAUGUUCAAUGCACGCAAACUGGUUUGAAAAUGGGUGAAACCAGUUUGAGAUAAACCUGGUUGAAUGUGGUAUCACACUUAACUGAUUUGGGUCAAACUGGCUUAUGUAAUGCCUGUCCCAGACCCCUUCCUGGUUUAAGUUAAACUAGACUCCUCCAGCAUCCCGGCAUGCCCUCUGGGCUAGGUGGGGCUCUCUGCUCCACAGCAGAUCUGGCCCCUCCCCUUUGCUCUCUGGCUGGAGCUGCAGCAGAGACUGCAGGCUUCUGCAUGGCUUUUCCCUGCUCCCUUCACUCCCCUCACCACUCCCUGCUAAGCAAGGAUCUCCCCCCUCCCCUCUGCCUUACACAGAAAACUCUCAGCAUUAGCUAGCAUACCACAUGCUGGCUAUGGUCUGUGCUGUGGCAAGUAGGACAAAGGCAGACAGGACUGUGCUGCUUAGGGCUCUUUGGAGCUAAUCAACAGGUGAUACAUAACUCCCAGCUGGCUCCUUUGCUGACCAGCAAGGCGGGGAACCCCUCCCUAAUCAGAGCAUCCUGCUGGGGCUGGCCAUACCUCCUCUUCAGCUCAGCACUGUAGAAGGGAAGGGAGGGCUGCUCGAGUACCCCCUGGCAUUUUUUCAGUCCAGGGGGGAUGUCUGUACAGUUACAAACUGAUUCUGCCUAGCCAGGUUAAACUAACCUGCAAAGAUUGAAUCAAUUCAGGCUCAGGCUUUUUGAAUAUCUGUCCGUAGCCUGAGACAUCAGGAGUGGAGCUCAAGUGCAGGCAGGUAUCCUGCUGUCUGCUUCUUUAAAGCACUUGUUAAUAUAGAGUCAGUGGAAAUGGAAUAACUAUAUUGAUGUAAUAUAUUACCUCACAGUGGUCUGUGGUGGCUGGAGGGAAGGCUGGAGUGGAGGCCAUGAGUGGAAGGCUGAAUGAAUGAAAGGAGCCUAGAAAAGCAAUAUAAUUUUUCCUUAGAUAAUUAAGGAUAUUAAAAAAAACCAAGACAACAAUCCCCCUCCCCCAAAACCAAGCCGCUAAGGCUUGCUGAUUUGCUAUGGCAAAGAAACUUAACGAAGAAAUGGACCAAAUUAAGCAUCAUCAAGAAAAAUAAACACCAAAUACAUCAACAUUUUCUGUUUUCAUUUGUUGUGCAUAAUGUCAGACAGAGGGAAUUUGCUUGGUCAACAGAUGAAGGUGUUGGCACAGCUAUGAUUAAUUUGUUCUGUUGCCAGCUGCUGGCAAUAUUUGUCUAAUUGUAGCUGUGCAAUUUUACCUACAUGUCAAGGUCAGGAUUCAAUAGCAAUUUUUAAUUAAAUUAAGAAGAUAAGAGCAUUAAAUAAAGUAUAAUUUAAAGGCAACUUUGUGAGACAUAUUGAAGCAUUCCAAGUAAUGAUAAAUUUUGUGGGGAGAUGGUACAGAAUUUGCAUGACUUGCAUGACAGAAGUUGUAUGACUUCUUUUAAAUAUAUUAUUGAUGCAGAAUUAUAUGACUAAAAGCACAGAGGACUUGAACUGUAUAAAGCUCUUGCAGAAAACAUACAUUUGGGUACAGAAGAAAUGAUAGCUAGAUUAGAUCAUAUACACUCACAAAUCCCUUGCUGGAGAAGUUAUGAGCCUACAUAUAAGAACAUGACAUUUCUCAUACUGAUGUACAUCUGUGUGAUUCUUUAAAAAUAUGACAAGGGUGAUUCACUAGGCCUUGAUAGUCCACAGUCAAAUAAAUUUCUGUGUACGAACCAGAUGUUUGCUCAGCUUUUUCAGCAAAUCUUAAACCAGAUUUGAAAGCUGUCAGACGACACACAGUAGAAUGUUUUUCCUCUCACUUUAUAAAUUUACAUUUAUCUCCUUCAAGGAAUUGUGCUUUUUCUGCUUUGCGUAGUGAAAUGAGCAAACAGCACUGCUGCCGUGAUACAAAAUGCAAUGAAGAACAGUUUGAGCCUAAAGAAUAAUAGUGCUUCUCAAAUUUUUGAUGCCAGCCUGGCAGGGGAUUGUGAGAUUGUAAGCUUGCCCAUACCUAAGAGUUUUGGCUUGAUAUUCUGUAUUGAUCUUGUUACCUCAAUUUGAUUAAAUAGAUAUUGUGCAUAUUGAAUGUGCUCCAUAGCAGCCCAUAUCGCAUUACAAACAUGUGUUUGCAGCGUGCUGUGUCACAGCAAUUGUAGCACUUUGCACUAUGGUCUAGAGUUCUUGGAUUGCCUCCAGGUUCUCUUCAUUCUGAAUUUUUUACCUUCUGACAGGUCAUGGGAUGCCUCCUAGAGUCCAGAGAUAUUGUAGAAAGAAGGAGCAAAGUCCCAACUUACUGUCCUGAGUCCAGGCUCUUCCAGGAGAGGCUCCAAUAAGACUACGGCAAAGAAUAAUCCUCAUCUUCCUUUGGAUACAGGAAGCCAGAAAUCAUCUAUUACACAACUAUUACACCAAAUACUAAGCCAGGGAGCCACAUCACAUUUUCACAAUAGAACUGAAACCGGGCUCCGCUUCCCUAACUUUUGGCUUUCGUUCCAAAUGCAAAAGACGAGUUUAUUGACAUCCACAGACUUUGAUCCAUCCAACCAAGCCCCCACUGCUGAAGUAUCCAAGCACCCCAGCAUUUUUACCUUCCCCACAGCGUUAUCCCAUUAUCAUUAUCUUUCCUAUUAUACAAGCUAAGCAAAGCAACUAACUCAAGUUAACACAGGAAAUCUGUUGCAGAGAAGGGAGUUGAAUCCAAAUCUCCUGAAGCUCAGGGUGACACCCCUAGACUUUGUUUCUUCUAUAUGCCUAGGCUUGCUGGUUUUGCCAAAGUUUUUCUCUAAGGUAUAUCUAUUUAAAUCUCAAAGGAAAAUGAUGGGGCUGGAGAUCCAUAGGAAUUGAAAUGUGCAAAGAAAAUCACCCCUUCCUCCUGCAAAAGGUAUCAAGUAAAAGGUUCCUCAUUUCCUGAGUCCAAAGAGGAAAUAGCCUGAAAAGGCAAAGAAGCUGUUCAGUUUCCCUAGUCACAGAAUUAAAAUGCUUCCUAAAUUCAGUAUUUUACAGAUACGCUCUUUGCUCCUUCUCUCCUUGAAAUGCAAAGGGAAGAGAUAUUCAGGGAGCUCUGUGUAUUUUUCCUGGCUGAGCUUAAAGCAGAAUGCUUGGGAAAGAUCACUUUACAGAAGUAAAAAUGGCAGGUCAUGGACACCUAGGCAAUAAAUCUUUCCUCAUCCCAGAGCUAUAAGACAAGCAGAUGGAGCACCUGUAACAUAACCAACGUGGUUAUUUUGCAUUGGACUAGACUGCCCCAAGUACAAUCUCUGCCACAACCACCCGGUCUGUAGAGCAAGUAUGCAGCACUGCAUACUGGAGAGGGCAGUCAGAUCCCAGGGCAUGGGUUUGUGGCUGAUUUGGGGCACUGGGAGUGCUACCUUGGAGUACUCCAAAAUGGAGGGAUCACUAUUGUACUUGGGGUCUUGGGUGAAGAGCCCAAGGGAAAUGAAAAGGCUCCAAGGUCUUGGCAGAACCUGUUCCUAUGUUUAGUACAAUCAAACCUCUUUAGCUGUCUCUUUGUUUUAGAACAGGCAGGCUGGUUCUUCUAUUUUCUUCUUCCUAAUGGAAAGAAAAUAACAUUCUGCUCCUGCACCUGGCUCCGCGCCCCCGACAGCAUAGAUCUCAUGAAGAACCGGGGCCUAAGGGUCAAGCAGACAUCAGGGUGAUCUGCAUAAGGCUCCUUUCUAGAGCAAACUCCCAAACAUAUGACAGUGUUCAGAUCUAGAGGGCCAGGGGAUGGUCUCUAAUAGGAAGAUGUGCUCACUGGCUCCAUUUCUGUACAUAGUACUCUCAGACCCACCUUUCUACAGAAACUCCAGAGGCAUCACUGCAGCUCAUGUCGGCUUAGUCAAGCCAGCUUUAAAUUAGCCAGUUUGGGUACUGAUAACACUGUAGUCAUAGCAGUGAAAGCUUCAAAUCAGGGUGAAAAACCCACACGCAAACAAGCCUGAGUAAAUGUAGCCAGCACUUUCUGGCAUACUGCACUUCAUUCUGCUGAGGCUAUAUUCCUACUUCCUCCUGACAACCGAUUUAAAGUUUACUAAACAUGCAUUUUUGGGAGUUGUACCUUUAAAUUAGGCAGAUUGACACAACUGUAUCCCUAAAGCAGCCAGUUUUGAUCUACAUCUCUCCAGCUGAGGUUGUCUGAUCUCCUGCAUCGGGCUUUAAAUUCAGUUUGACGGGGACGGGGAGGCAUAGAGAGAAUCUAGGACCUACAACCUAUGAGACAUGCAACAGAACAUCCCAUAUCACAAAACGCUUAGACGCAGGAGUAGACGUGGAUGUCGUUUACUUGGAUUUUAUGAAGGCCUUCGAUACGAACCCCUACCUCUGUCUACGUGGGCUGCAUGAACGGAUGUGGAGCCAGGUGACCUGGCCCGGUAACAGCAUCACAGCACCUCCCAGUCCACUGCAUCAUUACCCCCAGUCUUGGUGGAAGCUCUGAUGCCCUAUCAUGGCACCCAGGGGAUACACAGGACAUCGUUUGAAAACCACUGCUCUAGGUCAUUUGAAAAAAGAGGGAGCUUGCACACCUGUUGCAGGAAGAAUACCUAGGGAAUACAUAUUGUCCGUAUAAAAGCUUCUAAUUAUUCCCUGCCUCAGCCCAGUGUUCAAUUUGAAAACAGUGCUGGUAAUUUGUAUCCCAAGAACUUUGAACUUCUGUCUUUUCUUUCCAAACCAGGGCCAUGCUCUGUCAGGGUUUCAUCCCCUGGGACUGUGAACUGAAUGAGGACCCGUAACAGGAGAAGGCAGUAGAUUUCAAGUAUGUGACUCAUAAGAUUGGGUGGAAAAAUGUCCAUUUCUUCUUGACUUCUAAAUGAUGUUUCCAUCAGAUGGAGAGAGGAGCUGGAGGAAACGCACCACAUUGGCUGCUGAAUGCUAGACUGUACACCAGACUAGGAUGUGGGAAGGCAUGCUGUGUUUCUUGUUCUGCUUUCAUACCUAUAUGUAUUUACCAGGGGACCCAAAUCCAUCACCUUUCUUUAUAUAACCUAGUAUCUGACAGUUUCCAAUGGGACUAUGUAAGGGUGGUUGCAAAGUAUAGGGCUGAGCCCUAUUUGUUCUGAAGGUACCAUGAGGUUGUAGAGAUUCAUGAACAGAAAAUAGUGGAUGGGCUGAAGCAAAGCACAUCUAAUGUGUAGCAACUCCUGUAGAAGGAAAAAAACCCUAAAUGAGGGUGUUUAAAAAGGUUGCGUGGCCACUAGCUUGUGUAUCAGGAGAUCUGAGCUCUCUCCCCAGCAAUGCCUGUCACCUCGUGUAGGUCCCUUCACCUCUCACCUUUUGUCUGUCUAUUUACACUUUGAACUGUCUGAGGGAGACACUGUAUCUUUAUGUACCACACUUUUUACAGAGUGCUUAAAAUAUUGCUAGGGCCUUGAGGCAAUACUGUAAUGCAAAUAAUAAUGAGGAUAUGAAGGGCAGAUGGUUUUGGACCACAGGCCUGUUCUAAAAAAUGUUCAGUGCCUUUUAUGCCCCUCUAUUUUCAGAACAUGUUAAAGAGAAGGGGUACUUUAAAAGUCCAGCCACUUCCACAGGCUUCAGAAAUAGACACAGCAGAGGGUCAAGGGUUUAACAAGUAAAGAUUGGCUUAACACAGACAAUGAAGUCAGCAAUAUUCCUUACAAGAUUGACUGAUUAGCUGCAUAAACCUUAUUAUUUUUCAGCUAAAUGGUUUUAUAUCUAAUUUAUUAUCUGAUAAAGGGACAGCCUGAAAAGCAAUACUCUUUCCCAGUUAUUCAGCAUGCUGCUUGUGAUUCCCCCCCUCCCCACCCCUUUAUUUAUAUUGUAGUUAUGAUUCAAGCUGGUUGUUUGUCAUGGCCAAAAAUGGGAAGAUCAUGAUCUUGUCUUGGCAAAAAAAAUGCAAAAGACUUAGCUAUAGUUCAAAAGAAUGAGACAAAGUGAUGACAUGGAUUUUUAUUAAUGUCGAGUUGUUUGAGAGAAAGGAUAUUGCCUGAGGGUAGAGUUAUUUUUUUCUCACUUACAUCAUGGGGUAACACUAUCAGGGUCCGGGAUUUACACAGCUUAUAAGAAAGAGGCAAGUUUAGCCCGUGGGAGCUGGAUUUUGGCUGAUAAAGGCUCCCUAUAGGAACUUGGCUUCCAUAUUAUAAAAGUGGGUUUUCUUCCUCCCUUUUUCUAAAAGCCACAUCCAAAAGAGUAUAUAGGUGUUAAUCUCCCAAAGUUUUCAGUGGGACUUAGGAGGCUUUAUGGAUAUUGGCUUGAACUCCUUGGCUCAGAAAUGUUCCUUAUUGUGUUGGUACGGUGGCUGACUGUGACAGGGUGCUGUCACUUUAGGAGGAGAGGAGGUCUGAGAAGCAGCCUGCAGGUGUCAUGGGGGCUGCUUAGAGAUUUACGUGACUAGAAGGGGCCCAGGCUGAAGCCAUACAAGCACAGUGAUCGAGAGGGUCAAGCCCUGAGAGCCACUGGGCAAGAGCUCCUGGCAGCAGACUACAUUGACACCUGUGGGGCAUGGGGCAUGGUGUAGGGGUGGAUGGAGCCAUGCAGUUAGCCCUUAAGGCUAAAGGUGCCUUGGAGGGGUGCAGACAGGCUGAGAGGACCCAUGUAGCUUAUGUACCAAAUUCAGACUAGUGGGGUCUGGGAGGGACCUGUUAGCGACUUGAAUGGACUGAGGUUCACUCUAAAGCCCUGGGCAGCCUCCCUUACCUAAUCUUUAAUAAGAACAAGGCAUGGUGGACAAGCAAUCAAGGGAGGGUUACAUUGGAGACUGAGCUGGGCAGGAGCCAUACGGCCACCAGGGGGCAUCACGGCCUCCCCUGGGAGUCCGGUCCUGUCACACUGAAACUUUGUGGCCCAGAUUUCAGAGGCAACCUUAAUUCUGGCACUUCCUAUCUAUUGACUUCCUUGACUUUGCAACCUUAACUUUCUCUUUGUAGAUUUUGGAUGUUAUGGGGCAGUGUGGGGGAGGGAGGAUGUAAUUUAGUACUCUAGUAAUUUAUCCCCCCAGAUAUUACAUUAUUAGCCAUGUUUUACAGUGAAUAUUGAAAAUAUUCAGUCAUAUAAUAGGCUACACUCUGGGGAGAAUUACUGCAUUCUCCAUGUUUUCCUAAUUCUUCUACACUUGAUCUAAAGGAAAAGCUUGAAUGCAGCUCUGUAGGCCUAUGAUAGGCCUGACUAAGUGUGUGGACACACACGCAUUUGGAGCCAUUACAAAAGCGGAAAGUUUCUAAAGGGGAGGAGCUGUUACAUUGUAAUGGUUACAGUGUGAAGGAACCCAGAACGAUACAGGGCUGCUUACAGACGUGAAAAGACAAACGGACCAGCGCUUUACUUUAAGCUCGGCAUGCACCCGCACCAAGCACAGCACAUGCCCAGAGGAGGCACCAUGUUAGUUGGACAUGGCUUGCCCAAUGUUUGCAUAGAUUGGGCACUGCAGUGGGGCUUUCUGGUAAUUGAAUCGGCUAUUAGAUAAAAGUACGCGUGCGCACAUACGUGCACACACACACACACAUACACACACACACACUGGAUGGGGAAAGGUGAUUGCACUGGCAUGAGACUCACUACGGACAACACUGACUAAGGAGGUCCUUGAGACAGCUGAAUAGGCAACAUUGAGGAACAGGGUAUGCCUUAAAAUUUCAGCCUUUCUCAGGUUCAGGUACCUAAAUCCACUUGGGAUUCAGAGCCCUGAACUCUUAUGGAAUUGGGCACCUAAGCCAUUGCUUGGAAAGGUUGUGAUGCUGCCCCUCAUAAGAGACUGGUGGUUACUGCAGUCAUUAAGGAUAUGGCGGACACAGUUUUAAUUUCUUCCUGUCUGAGGAGGUUCAAAAUGACAUCGCUCUCAUCCCUGAAGAGUUUCUUGUUCCCUAGGUUAUAGGGUUUUCUGGACUGGAAGCACUCUCCACCCUUUUUGUUGAAGCUGUGCCACUUUACAGGGAAUAUUUAAAGAUUCAUUGAGUCAGAGUGAGCAUCCCUCUCUAACCUAGGGGGUAGGAUAUUUAUUUGGGGGCAAGGGGAGGGGGUUGAAUUGUCGUUCCAAGGUCUGAUUGUACAUUUUUCAUAAACAGCAAUAGAAGAAUAUACAAAAUAGCCCUUGGUGCACAGCAAGCACUGCAUUGGGGAAUCAUGCCUCAUGAUCAGGGAUCUGAGUUUUCUGUUUCCCACGGAAAAAACGGAGUAAAAUGGAGAUUUUUCCCCAUUCAUAGAUUCAUAGAUGUUAGGGUCGGAAGGGACCUCAAUAGAUCAUCAAGUCCGACCCCCUGCAUAAGCAGGAAAGAGUGCUGGGUCUAAAUGACCCCAGCUAGAUACUCAUCUAACCUCCUCUUGAAGACCCCCAGGGUAGGGGAGAGCACCAUCUCCCUUGGGAGCCCGUUCCAGACCUUGGCCACUCGAACUGUGAAGAAGUUCUUCCUAAUGUCCAGUCUAAAUCUGCUGUCUGCCAGCUUGUGGCCAUUGUUUCUUGUAACCCCCGGGGGCGCCUUGGUGAAUAAAUCCUCACCAAUUCCCUUCUGUGCCCCCGUGAUGAACUUAUAGGCAGCCACAAGGUCGCCCCUCAACCUUCUCUUGCGGAGGCUGAAAAGGU